This 253-nucleotide ribosomal RNA is filed under the name uncultured bacterium. RNAcentral's name for it is "partial 16S ribosomal RNA". It matches the Rfam family "Bacterial small subunit ribosomal RNA", at positions 524 to 776 of the family's 1533-position model. The record is from RNAcentral.
UACAGAGGUCUCAAGCGUUGUUCGGAUUCAUUGGGCGUAAAGGGUGCGUAGGCGGCGCGGUAAGUCGGGUGUGAAAUCUCGGAGCUUAACUCCGAAACUGCAUUCGAUACUGCCGUGCUUGAGGACUGGAGAGGAGACUGGAAUUUACGGUGUAGCGGUGAAAUGCGUAGAUAUCGUAAGGAAGACCAGUGGCGAAGGCGGGUCUCUGGACAGUGCCUGACGCUGAGGCACGAAGGCGAGGGGAGCAAACGGG